Long non-coding RNA from Marmota monax (woodchuck), 3022 nucleotides. RefSeq lists it as uncharacterized. The record is from RefSeq and is a predicted model, not a curated record. The transcript has 2 exons. NCBI's taxonomy places the organism in Eukaryota, Metazoa, Chordata, Mammalia, Rodentia, Sciuridae.
GGGAGGGGCGCCGGGGCGGAGUGGGCAGGGUCCAGCCCCGGGGGCUGCACCCGGUCCCCUGCUCCCGCUGACCCCUCCCGCCCGUCCGGAGCUGCCCCAGGUGGCCCAGGGCAGCGUUGGCCGUGGAUCACAGCACAGGGCACUCUACGGCUGCCAGGCCUGCAGGCUGCCUGCCUCGGCUCACUCUGCAGGAGCGAGAGGGCAGCGUGCCCAGAAAUGGGAUUGGAACCGAGAAGGAAGAAGACACUGGUCCUGGAGCUGCUCAGGGAACGGCCACAGGAAGUGACUACGACAUCCCAGGUGGUGGGCGCUCAAGGGAGAAGGCCCAGAAGUCACACACUGACGCUGUGGCAGUCAGGCCACAUGCAGGCCAGGACACAGGCCAGGUUGUGUGGAGAGACAGAGAUGACCUGACUGCAGGACAGGGUCAACUGCAGGGUCCAGCGUCUAUGUGGCCAGAGCGAGCUGCCUGACCUGGGGCUGUACCACAGCCAGCGAUGGGACCCAGGCUGCCACCAGGUGGGGGCGCAGUGGAGUCCCCUGCUCUGCAGGGGGAGCCCGCAGCAGAUGUCUGAAGAGGAGCGGUGGAGAGAACACCCAUCCGCAGACUGUAGGAAGCGUGGGUCCCCCUCAGACCCACCAGCCUCUUGGGAAGCAGCCCUCAGACCGCAGAACAAAGCAGUCCUCCGGAGGCUCCAGAGGUGCGCUCCUCGGAGUUGAACCAUGAGCUGAAACUCAGGUCUCCAUGAAAGCCAGCAGUGUCCCAGCAGCUGCGGCUGUGAUGGCCAAAGUGCCUUGAGCAGGUGACAAGGGACAGGCCAGGUUGAAUAUUGACAGAAUACCACUCGGCACCAAGAGAAGUGAAUUACAAGGCCCUGAAAAGACAGGGGAGCAUCUUAAGGGCCCAGUGCCCAGUAGAGAAGCCCGUCUGAGAAGGCUGCCCGGCCUCGGUUCCUCCUGGACCUCUGCAGAGGCAGGGCCACGAAGAUAGGAAGAGAAGGGCUGGCUGGGGGUCUGAGGAGUGGACGGGCAGUGGAGGCCGGACGGGCAGUGGAGGCCACAUGGACAGGCGGGGACGUACUGCACGGGGGUACAUCUGCUUCCCCAUCUCCUGCCACACGGAGAGAGCCCACGUGGACUGACUCUGAUCACAGUGCGUCACCACAGGGUCAUCGGUCACACCAGACAGACACCCGCACGCAAGCUAUAGUAAUAGAGUAAGCACGGGAGCGUCCACUCACCUUUCUAUAAAUCCAAAAUGCUCAAAAAAUAAAACCUAUGAGUCAUGUGCGAGGAAGGAGCAGGAACAGGCCCAGGACCAGGUGCAGUGGUGCACACUGGAACCCCGGCUCGGGGGAGGGCAAAGUUCAAGGCCACCCUGGGCAAUCAAACUAAGAAAUAAAAAUGGCCAGGGGUGCAGCUCAGUGGUAGAGCACCCUGGGUCCAUCCCCAGACUUGGGAGCCUGGGUGGCCCCAUCCCUGUUGGAAGGGACACGGGGGAAAGGAAAUCUGAGGAGCUGGGAUCCACCAGUCCCUGAGCCACAGGAGGGGACAGAGGCAUCAGUAAGAGCCAGGGUGGGUGGGCUCUCCCUCCCUGUCCCACCCUCCCCCCCUCUCCCUUCUCCCCUGAUGAGCUGAUCAAUCGCUCAUCACUGCUUGAAGGAGGGUCCGACUCAAGUGUGGCCUCUUAAUCAGCACGCGGCCGUCCCAGGUUCAUCCACUGCCCUGCCCACCCACAAAUGAGCCCAUUGACCCAUCCUCGCCUCCCCCAGGGAGGCCUGCCUGGGCUCCGAGCGCCGUCUGGUGGCCGCAGGGUGAGCACAACACAGCCCGGAGGACCUGAGAGGACACGGAGGGCCAGAGGACUGAGGAAGGCCGCUCUCCGCCCCCUCAGGCGGCUCCUCCUCCCCAGUCCUCUCCCCCCACACCCUCCUUUGGAAGACACCAGAGUGCACCCCUUCUCCAGCCCCAGCAAAACACAUGCUGCCUGCCCUGCCCUGCCUCAGGGCCUUGGAGCGUGCAGGUCCCUGGGCCAAAACACUCUCUGCCACACCUGUCAGCCCCCCUCGGCUUUGUGGCCAGAUCCACCCCACCCAGCCGCAUCACCCCAGAUGGAUGGUGAGUGAACAAGGGUCGGAUGGGCUGGGAAACCCUGUGAACCAGCGUGGGGUCACCUGGCCAAACCCCGCUGUCCCCUCCUGGGCCUGGCAGGCCUGAGUGCUCAUCUGGGGCAUCCCCCAGGGUGUCUGGGUCCUGGGGUCCGGGUUCCUGGAGCAGGGCUGUGGGGUGUGCUGAAGGCAGUAGGACUUCCUCUGACAGGGAGCGCAGGCUGGGCCUGGGGAGUCCCUGGCUCUGUGGAAGCUCGACCUUCAGUCCCCAGGGUGGCUGCUCUCCCGUCCUUGUCCCCUUCCCGGGGCCCAGCCUGCUCUGGCAGUGCAGGUGUCCCAGACCUGUGUCCAUGCCAUCACAGCUCCUCCCUGCCCAGCUGCCACAGUCAGGUGGCAAGGGAGAGGGAAGCUGGCUCCCUGUGCUCCUUGUCCUAGGUGCCCCAGUGACCUGCAGUUCCAUGGGAACACUAGCCUUCUGUAGCCAGGCUGAUUUGGGGGACUUGGGGUGACUGCCUCCCCCAGCAGACUGGCAGCUGGACUGGCCUCAGCAAGUACCAGUGAGGGUGUGGACAGUGUCCCUGGCCCCAUCUUCUGGGUCCUCUGGCCUCCCCUGCCUGGGUCAGACCCUGGCCUGUGGCAGUCGUCAGGAGCCGUGAGUGUGGGUGUGGCUUCCUGGGGUGUCCCAGCUGUGGUGGGUGCAGCGCUGACCCUGCUUCCUGCUCCCCUUCCUGCCUCCCCCGCCCACAGCAGAGACUGGCAGGCCCAAGGUCAGCGGUCUGUGUAUCGACAGUGUCUGUCCACCCUGGGCUGGCGGGAGGGAGGAGACUGCGGCUCGAUAAGGCCCAUCUUGUGAGAAAAUAAAUUUGGCCAUUGACCCAGCAAGCAGACGUCAAUAAAUGAAUGGUUAAUACAAA